Molecule: long non-coding RNA, 1001 nt
Filed under: Gallus gallus (chicken)
Lineage: Eukaryota; Metazoa; Chordata; Aves; Galliformes; Phasianidae
Description: lncRNA (ENSGALG00010002785.1)
Source: RNAcentral
GCCGGAGUUUGCUCGGGGGCGGAGGCCGCGGGCCGCCCUCGUCUGCCCCUGGGCCGUUUUUAUGCCCCGGUAUGCCCCUUCACGCCGCUCCCUGCCGAGGCUGGAAGCGGCAGCGGUUUACCAACCAGACGCAGCUGUAAAGUUCUGCACGUGUUAUGUGUUGGUUUGCUUAAGGCAACGCACGGCUUGCUGUACACAGAUGCAUGUUCUGCCCCUAAGAGAUGAUGAAGAUGGAAGUUCGUGGCUUGCUCCUUGCUUCUCAGAUAUGGACAGGUGACAACCUACAAGCCACGUGAGCGAUCCUGGUGUCCUGCAGCCACCUCGCCACUCUCUACCAAUAGUCCAAGUGUGGGGGACACAGGAGUGUCUUGGUGAUGGGAUGACAGCCUUGCUGCAUGUCAGGCUCCUGAAGCCGGUGAAGGAGAAACAGCAGUCUGAGGUGAAACAACAUUCAACAAAACCUCAUCAAAUGCUUUCAGAGAAUGAAAAUGACACGUUACAUUAAAGGCUUAAGUAGCAGUCGCAGGAGAUUAAAUGCAGUUAAGCAUAACGAAGCGUGAGGAUGACAAGAAAAAUGAAGCAGAGGUGCCUUAUCUCCCAAUUCAUCGCAGUACAAAUUUUAUAUUCCAGACACAAAUGCCACUUUGGGAUUGAAAUCGUACUACGUGAAUCCGUGUGAUUUGCAGUGGCAACAUGCUAAUGGUGUGAAUUAGUCGUUAGUUCAUGACUCUGAGGAAAAGGACCACAUGAAAAUUGUAAGUUAGAAUUCUAUUAGCAGGACUGAGUCUCUUCAUUCUCAGUGCAGAAGUGCAGUACAACAGAAGAACAAAUACAUUCUGCAGGUGGAGAGAAGAGCCGUGGGUUCAUGGUAAGGACAGCAUCCAUCUGCCCCAGGUAAAUCUAAGCCCAUCUUCCCAGCUUGUAGGUGCCUUUGUUUACCUUUUGCUCCAUAACAAACCCAGAAACUCCCUGAUAAAAUUCCCUUCGGAUCAUGACCGUAG